Hylaeus anthracinus is the source of this 2643-nucleotide long non-coding RNA. RefSeq lists it as uncharacterized. The record is from RefSeq and is a predicted model, not a curated record. Lineage: Eukaryota; Metazoa; Arthropoda; Insecta; Hymenoptera; Colletidae. The transcript has 3 exons.
UUAAAGUCGAAUAGCUGACAGUUCUAUAAUGACUAUUUCUUAUCGAUUUCAACAAAUUUCAAGAAAUAUUAAAAGUUCGCUACUGAAACAACGUUGCUAUUUUUGGAGCUCGAAUAACAAUAACAACUCGAUUAAAGAGAAGUUAGAUUGUUCGAGUUUCGAUUUUACCUUCAAAAGAAUGAUAUCGAUUUUGAGAAAUCUUCUUUCGAAAACUGCUGAUGCGCAAGUUUGCGCAGUUUUUUUAGUAAGAACAUCACAUCGAUGGAAUCGCACGUGUACGUUGCAUUCCGGCAACCUUGAGGCACCAUCAUUUUGCGUUUUAGCUUUUCCGUGACUGGCUGGAACGAAUAAACACGAAAUGUGUCUAAACAGUUCUAGGGCCACGUGAUCCAGGAAUUCGAAUAGUAUUAAUAUCUUCAUUGAUAUUCGUACUUAAUUUAGCGGGAAUUAUGUUCCUUGCAGAUAACUGUUAACACUAAAACUACUAAGGUCAACUUACAUGCAUUCUAUAUUUUACUCUAUACACAACUCCGUUUUUGUAAUUAGAGAACUUGUACGAUUGGAUCGUGCUCAAUGGCCGUGGUCUUCAGCGUCUCCGAUUGUUUUAUUUGCGCGAGGAAUUAAUGCCCCGCUCGGUGGCUCCGCGGGACGGUCUCGUUACCGAAAUCAAACGGAAUGUACUAUUCCCAGCUUUUACCCGGCCCUGGAAUUUUUCCGACACACCGUGUAUAGAUUUUUGGCAGAGUCCUCCGCUUCUUCUUCUUCUUCUUCUUCCCAAGCGACUUUUCGUUUCUUGACGCUCUAGAUCCCCGUCCACGUGCAAACGGCGCAGACUCGACUCCGUUCUCUCUUCCUGUGGCGAAGGUGUGUUUGCCAGCCAGAAGGCCUUCAGUCUGACGUUAAACGUUCAAUUCCGCGGAUGGCUGUUGCGCGGCUUCGACAGUACGAAACACCCACGCGUCCGCCCGUUACGUUUUCCCCCUAAACGUUUUCGAUUUCGAUCGGCGAUCCCGCGUCCGCAAUUUCCUCUCGACGGCCGUCUUUGUCCGUUUCGUCGCGCGUAUCGUGCGCCAGUGACGAUUUCGACUCGUUCGGAUAUCGAUCAAUUCCAUCCCUCGCAGACUCACCUUCCGAGACGCGUGACACCUUUUGCGCCACUGUCUUUCGAUCGAACGUAUCACGAACAUGUAUUCGGAGAAGUGAUUCAUUGCUAUGGCGAACCUUUAACUUCGUUCGCUUAUAAUUAUAGUUCACCUGUCGCGAUGAUCAAUUUUCGCUCGGCCUGCUCACCGCGAUGCUCUUUCCAAGUUCCAUUCUUCCAUUUUAUAACGUCGAAGUGUGCCGCGCGGAAUAUAGGGAUACCCCAACGAGUCGGGCUGUUCAUUUCGCCAGACAUUCAUCAACAAGUUCGUGAAUUCGCGUGUGAAACCAGUUAUCGUCGUGGCAAUAGUUUACUGUGAAGGGAUGAAAAGGGUGUUACCUAAAAAUUGAACGGCGCGCCUCGAGUCCCGUCGAUUUCCACGUGCGCCUUAAAAUCGUUGGUGUAUUCGAAUUGUUUUCGGAAAAGAAAAGAUACAUGGGAUUAUUGACCUCGUCGAGAACAACUACAGUGUUCACUUUUACUUGACGGAGCAUGAAAAGCACGUCGUGGCUUUUGAGUCGAGGCUCGAUAAAUAAAUAACCCGUUGGCGGUGGUGUCUUCGUCAUUGUGCGUUUAUUACUGGAUUUAACGAAACGACGCUAAUUCGUGAUAUCGUUCAUAUCGAGCCACUAACACGGAUACGUUUGCUUCUUAAAAAUACAACAGGAGGUGUCGGUGUACGAGACAGAGAGCUACGUCGAUUUUACUCUUUGGAAGAAUACAGGUACCAUUGAUGUCUACGUACGACUGUAUGCACAAGGCAGCGUAUCACCCGCACUCGAUGUCGCUUCUAUAUCUAGGGGGUUGAUUAAAGUGAUGAAGGAGCGGCUUCGAUAAGGCUUAGCUUGAUCGACGUCGAUUAAGUUCUCGUUUAUACUCGGUACACCUUGCCAGCCACUAUUCGAUUACUUCGGAUAAAUGAAAAACCUGGACAGAUCCAGCUGAAAUUUUCCCGAUCGUUACAGAUGCGAAAGUGGGACACCGAUCGACGGGAAAAUUGAAUCACGGGAAAUCUAAUGCGAUAAUGAACUUAUUGGUCCGUAAUCGGAAAAUGUUUAUACGAACGAAUACAUGAAAAGAAUAAUUGAAAAUUGGAACGGUGAUUUUCAAACAAGAUCUAAAUUAAAAUUAAAAGGAAUGCUUGUAUCGAAAUAUUAAAUAAAUGAUUACGCUUUGCAUCGUCGGGAGUUAAAUUAAAAGUUCAUCGGAGUACACGUACACACACCGAAAAGCAGUUCAUGGAGCGAAUAAUAAAGAUCGGGUAAUAGAGGAGUGGCGCCGAUUACGUUAAACUGUGACGACAAUUUAAUGGAAAACUAAGUAAAGCGUACGAAAACCUACAUCACAGCUAUUUCCGAAACACCUUGUACAUUGAAAUCUCUACUCAAAUUUAACCAUUUACAGAGCUCUCUUAUAGAAGUCAUUGUGCACGUUCUCGAUGUUCAUAUCGUUUUAAGAAAAUUUUUAGUUAUCGUUAUCCGAUCGCCUCGCACAAAAAUUAU